AAAAAAAAAACAAUGGCUUUAGGAAAAUAUACUAGGAUAGACACUAGAAGGCAAUCAACAAAUUACUGCUCAACGGUGACGAUUGUGGUCUUUGUGGCUCUCUGCUUGGUUGGGGUAUGGAUGAUGACAUCUUCAUCUGUAGUUCCUGGUCAAAAUGUGGAUGUGCCUGCUCAGGAGAACAAGAAUGAGAUCAAGGAACCACUGGCUGAGAGCAACGAAAGCAACCCUAAGCAAUUUGAGGAUAGCCCUGGUGAUUUACCUGAGGAUGCAACUAAAGGGGACAACAAUAGAAGUCAACCUCAGGGAGAAGACAAGUCUAAUACGCAAGAAACUCAAGAGGUGAAGGUGGAAGAGAAGCAAGAAGAGAAAUCUGAGGAAAAGCAAGAUGAAGUAAUUAAGUCUAAUGAUGGCUCAAAUAAUGAGAAGCAAAAUGAAGAAAGUAAUACAGAAAAUGGGGAUUCUAAGACGCUAGAUGGGGAAAAAAACUCAGAAGCUGGAGAGACAAAAACUAAUGAGGGUGAAAAUAGUGGCACUGGACAAGGUGAUUCUGAGGAGAACUCAAAAGAGAACAAAUCUGAAUCAGACGAGACUGAAAAGAAUCCAGGCACUGAUGAGACUGAGACAAAAUCGGAUGAGAACUCUGGUGUAACAGAGAAGAAAUCUGAUGCAGAUGACACCAAGACAAAGUCAGAUGAGAAUUCUGGUGAUACGAAGGAUGGGAAAACAGGGAAUGGGCAGAUAGAAGAGAAGGUGGAUCUAAAAAAUAACAAGGAGUCAGAGAAAACCUCUGAUGAGCAGGCCAACAACCAGAGUGGAGUUGAGGUAUUUCCUUCAGGGGCUCAGUCAGAGCUUUUGAAUGAAACUGCCACUCAGACUGGGUCAUGGUCAACUCAGGCAUCAGAGUCAAGAAAUGAGAAAGAAACUCAAUUAGCUUCUAAUCAACAAAACUCGUACAAUUGGAAAACUUGCAAUGUCACUGCUGGGCCUGAUUACAUCCCAUGUCUUGACAAUUGGCAAGCAAUUAGGAGUCUUCGAAGUACCAAGCACUAUGAACAUCGAGAAAGGCACUGUCCUCAAGAACCUCCAACUUGUCUUGUUCCACUUCCUGAAGGAUAUAAACGCCCAAUUGAGUGGCCCAAAAGCAGGGAAAAGAUAUGGUACAGUAAUGUUCCGCACACCAAACUUGCAGAAGUUAAAGGGCAUCAAAACUGGGUGAAAGUUACUGGCGAAUACCUCACUUUCCCUGGUGGUGGAACUCAGUUUAAGCAUGG
This 1271-nucleotide unclassified non-coding RNA is filed under the name Hevea brasiliensis (rubber tree). The record is from RNAcentral. Lineage: Eukaryota; Viridiplantae; Streptophyta; Magnoliopsida; Malpighiales; Euphorbiaceae.